This 1305-nucleotide long non-coding RNA is filed under the name Homo sapiens (human). Its description in RNAcentral is "HSALNT0370794". The record is from RNAcentral. Lineage: Eukaryota; Metazoa; Chordata; Mammalia; Primates; Hominidae.
CCAGAGCCCUAGAGAGCAGGGUGCUCCUUCAGACCCCAGGCCUUGUCUCUAGCCCUUCCUAAGUCAUCUCACUUCUCCCUACUUCUCACCUUCUGCCUUGGGUCCAACCUACUCCUAGGCUAUGAAGCCAUCCACCAGCCUUACCUAGGCACAGGCCAAUGCACUGCUGCCUGGGACAACAGGUCACUGCAGAACUGGCAUCACCCAAGAAUCCGAAGGACUCGGCUGAAUAAAGACCAUGAUCCGAAGUUAAAAGGAGUUUCAGAUGCAAAGGGACGGUGAAUCAGUGAGAAAACCAUUGAAACCUGGGAGGUCAGAGCAUCCUGCCCCACCAGGCAUCAGCAGCAGAGAAGAAAGUAUCACAGUACAGAUGAAAUAGUCCCUCAAUGACCAACAGCCGACCUUAAGUUCACCACCAGAUGCUUCAUGACAAACUCACAAAGGCAAUAGCCACAAAGGGCCAACAACUUUCCCUGGGCAUCUAUCCAAGCCUGUCUUCAUGGUCCCUUCCAACAGCUGGACGUAUUGGCUGCCAGAUGUCCCUGAAACCGCAGGCUGCCUUACCUAUGUCAGGUAAUUUGGCUUCCCUGAUUGACCCAUCACUGAGAUCAUCACUAGCAGAAGGGAUACUGUUCCAGAACUAGCAGCCUCCAUUUCCUCCUCCUUGGGAUGUGUGUUGUGAGAAGCUCAUGUCACAUAAAAGGCAACAUGUGGGCACCUAAGCAGAUAAUCCCCAACUGAACACCCACUCAACAACUAGUGCCAACUGCCAUCCAUGAGCAUGCACCAUCUUGGAUGUUCCAGCCCAGUCAAGCCCCAGAUGACUGCAGCUCCAGCCAACAACACACGGAACAGAAGAACCACCCAGCUGAGCCCAGCCAAUCCCUGAGCCCAGGGAAUUAUGAUGAUGAAACUAUACCCUAAAGAGUUAAUGAAACCAAUGACAGAAAUUACUGAGUUUGCAGGAUAACAGAUAAGAAAAAAAAACAACUUGCUGAGAUGCUGAAAUUCCCUCCUCUUCUGAGUAUUUUUUUUUUUUUAACUCACAAGUUUUUUAAAAAGUUGGCAGUGGGCUAAAAUUAAUUGGAACCAGGAUGACCAACUGGAGAUUGUGCACAAGUUUGCUGACAUCACAGCCCAAAUUUCCACCACAUAUUUCAUACUAACUUCUCCCAAAUUUGCAUAUGCAACCUAUGAAGUAACAUAAAGAAAUAAGUACACACACCCAAGGACUUUCCAGACUUCCCCUUUCCCUCCACCAACCACCUGCUAAUCCCAGUAUCUACCCCCUAAGCCUUUCCUAAU